This is an RNA transcript of Rhineura floridana, 12544 nucleotides long. It is a transcript of the gene named pleckstrin and Sec7 domain containing 3, with no coding region annotated. The transcript has 16 exons. The record is from RefSeq and is a predicted model, not a curated record. NCBI's taxonomy places the organism in Eukaryota, Metazoa, Chordata, Lepidosauria, Squamata, Rhineuridae.
AUAAACUGAUGAUCUAUGUGUUUUCAUUGACCAAUGGGUAACUGCUGGAGCUACAGUAAUCUCUGUGGCCAUGGAGGUAGCACUCUCCUCCCAAACAACGUCACCAAUGAAUUCCUGGAAUAUGGGGCUGUGGAAGAAGGUGCCAAACCAUUGGAAAUGUUAUCUGAGAUUCAUGAAGAGCCGUUAAAGUGCAUUUCAGAUGGGCAGCCAAGUGGCCAGUUGCCUCAUGAGAAUGGCAGAGCUGGUAAUGGAAUAGAAUCAUUUUGUCAGGGGUUACAAAUGCUCCCUAAAGAGUCAGAAGAGUCAGAAUUGGUUGGCAGGGUGAGUGAGAUUGCAAGAACUUCUCAAGAUUUAGAAUGUGAAAAGGCACCAGACAGGGAAAAUGAUGCUUUCGUUUCAGAAAUGCAAAUGGAAAAAGAGAGGAGGGCUGGCAGAGCUACUGAGGAGGCAGCCAGAGAGAAAGUUCUUGCAGGCCAAGAAAAAUCUACAGAAAUUCCUCUUCCAUCUGAAGCAACAGCGGAGAGAAAAUUGUAUUGGAUCACAGAAGAUGACUCCAUGGUCUUAACUGUGGAAAUACAGCCCGAGACCUCACAAACGGCUGCUGGUGGAGCUGAGGAAGUCCACAAAAUGUGUGGAACAAAUUGUCAUAUACCUUUGGCAGGACCAGAGGACAAAGGGGUGAGCACUGCUGGGGUUCUUGGUGGUGCCUGGGCAGAUUUUGAGCGGGAGUUUUCUGUGUUUGAUUUGGAAAAAGCAGAAAGAGCACCUGAGAGGAGGAUAUCGAAAGAGACAGCUGUGAGCAAACAUGUGGAAUUUCAAGGGGUGGAAAUCCUUUGGAUCCAAAAAGCAGAGGAGCAGAAGGAAAUGGGAUGCUCUGACUUUGAGGGUGUUGAAAGGAGAAGAUUCUCAAAUACAUCCAACCACCACACUCCAUCGGCAGCAUCAUCAGAGUUAUGUGGUUUGCCUGAGCGUUCUUGGAAUGUAUCUUGGGAAAACAUCAGGCCUUUGGCUGAAGGUGGAGAGGACGAAGUCUUCAUAAGGGAAGAAAAGAAAAAUGGGGCUCAGGAGAGGAAAUCUAUGUCAGACAACGCCAGGCUAAUGGAGGAGGAGGAGGAGGAGGAAGAAGAAGAAGCCCUCAGUGGAAGAAUGGAAGAUGUCCUUGGGCAACCGCACUCUGAAGUCUCAACAGAUGUGUACAGCUCCCAGUUUGAAAGCAUUCUAGACAAUGCCUCCUUAUAUUAUAGUGCUGAGUCACUGGAAACUUUAUAUUCUGAGCCAGAUAGCUACUUCAGCUUCGAAAUGCCACUUACUCCAAUGAUCCAGCAGCGUAUCAAGGAAGAUGCUCAGUUUUUAGAAAGAACUCCCGAUGGGGCGAUAAAGAAGGGCCAUGGUGAUGGGAUUUCCAAUGGACUGGGAGAUGUGAAGGAGUCGGAUGUCACAGAAGCUUGUCAUUUGGAAAGCAAUGCAAGGCUGGAAUGUACAACGCCAGUAGAUGCUGUAGGAGACAUGGGAAACAAUGAUUUUCUGGAAAAAGAAGGGCACGAAAACUUGAGCCAUGACUUCAUCAAUGGCACCACCAGUGGCAACAGGGAAGCAGCCCGGAGGCUGGCAAAGCGCCUCUAUCAUCUAGAUAGAUUCAAGCGGUCUGAUGUAGCAAAGCACUUGGGAAAAAACAAUGAGUUCAGCAAACUUGUCGCUGAGGAAUACCUCAAGUUCUUUGAUUUCACAGGCAUGUCUUUGGAUCAUUCCCUCAGGACAUUCUUUAAAGCAUUUUCUCUAAUUGGAGAAACUCAGGAAAGAGAGCGCGUUUUAGUUCAUUUCUCCAACAGAUACUAUCAGUGCAACCCAAAUGCCAUUUCCACACAAGAUGGAGUCCAUUGCCUCACAUGUGCAAUUAUGUUGCUGAACACUGACCUCCAUGGCCAUAAUAUUGGCAAAAGGAUGUCCUGUCAAGAAUUCAUUGCCAACCUUCAGGGAAUGAAUGAAGGCAAAGAUUUCCCAAGGGAACUCUUGAAGGCCCUCUACAAUUCAAUCAAAAACGAGAAACUUGAGUGGGCAGCAGAUAAUGAAGAGAAGAAAAAAUCCCCCUCAGAUGGUACCGACGAGAAGGAUAAUGGAACCCAAUCCAAGGGUGUCAGUCGCAUUGGCAAUUCCAAUAAUCCUUUCCUGGACAUUCCUCACGACCCCAGUGCUGCUGUGUACAAAACAGGAUUCCUGGCACGUAAAAUCCAUGCUGAUAUGGAUGGAAAGAAGACUCCACGAGGGAAGAGAGGAUGGAAAGCUUUUUAUGCUGUUCUUAAAGGAACUGUGCUUUAUUUGCAAAAGGAUGAAUACAAACCAGAUAAGGCUUUAUCAGAGGAAGAUCUUAAAAAUGCAGUCAGUGUGCACCACGCGUUAGCAUCGAAGGCAACAGACUAUGAGAAGAAGCCAAACGUUCUGAAGCUCAAGACAGCUGAUUGGAGAGUCCUGCUUUUCCAAGCUCAGAGUCCAGAAGAAAUGGAGUCUUGGAUCAAUAAGAUCAAUUCUGUAGCAGCUGUUUUUUCUGCCCCACCAUUCCCAGCUGCCAUUGGAUCCCAGAAGAAAUUCAGCCGCCCUCUGUUGCCUGCCACCACAACCAAAUUGUCUCAGGAUGAGCAACUAAAAUCACAUGAAAGUAAACUGAAACAAAUCUCCACUGAACUAGCUGAGCAUCGCUCCUACCCACCGGAUAAGAAACUUAAAGGCAAGGAAGUGGAGGAUUACAAACUGAAAGAUCAUUAUCUGGAAUUUGAGAAAACUCGGUAUGAAACCUAUGUGUCUCUUCUUACAGAGGGAGCAGGCAAAGAGUUGCUGAGCACCAGUGAGAACGAUGGCCCAGGACUGAAGAAAUGCCAUUCAAGCCCCUCCUUAAAUCAGGAGUCCCCUCUUAGUGCCAAGGUGAAGCGUAACAUCUCAGAGAGGAAAGACUAUAGACCUGAAACACCGAGCAUCAAGCAGAAGGUUACUUAGGGCAACUGAGGCAAACUGAGGAACAACAUAUCACUCGCUCUUUAAUAACCUGUCCUUUGCAAAAAGAAAACAAACAAAAAUUAACACAUCUGCCUGAAUGGGGUGUUAGUGACAUUUUCAAUUGUAAAUUUUGUUGUUUCUGUACAGGUUGUUGGAGAUGUUUUGGCUUCUGACUUGCAUUUGUCCAGUUAAUUUAUCAUAGAGCAAUUGUUCCAAUUCUUUAAAAUAAUAUAAGAAAAAAAGGGAAGGAAAACUAGGUGUGGGAAGGGAGAGAUUUGAUGAUUUAAUGAUUAUCUCCCUCAUCUUUUUAUCUUCUUUCAUUGGCUUGUAAUUUUCAUCUCUCAAGUCAUCUGCUGCUUUUCUACAGCAAAUAACUGGACAAACAGAAGCUUACUGAGUUGUUUAGCUGUGUGAAUGGAUUCUUGCAUUUGCCAAGGUGGCGUUGACUCACUAUUAAGAGAGACUCGUAAAACUGCUCAACCUCGGGGAAAAUACGUUUCUAAGUGCUGCAGAGCUCUGUAACUAACGUGUGAUGGGAGCCAUAGCAGUAGCUAGACUGUUGAACGAGCAGUUUUUGUGAUCUCUGAGCCCACACUCUGUAGGAGGCUGAAAAGUGAAGGCUGGCCAUAAAGAACAGAAGUGAACUAACAAAACUAGCAUUUUAGAUUUGGAAACCAGGGAAGGCCUUGGGUGAACAGAAAUGGCGGAAACCAAAACUGGUCUUACUUUUCCAUUUUGUUGAAUGACCAUGGGCCUCUCUGUUUUAUCAGCAAGUUGUGCUACCUGUACAGUUUUCAACAGUAUAUUACUCAUACAUUUGAUGUACAGACAGCUGUAAUGUGUAUUUAUUUUCCAUUGGCAUUAUGAUUCUCCUCUGGAAGUAUGUUCAGGCACUUUAUAAUCUAUUUGAUUGCAACUAAGAAUUUCCCCCUCAAAGCUGGAAAGUCUGAAAGGACAGCAUGUUACCCAGUUCCUUUUGUAAAUAAUGUCAAGGAGGCCUAGAUAUAUGGUAUUUAUAAUGAUAGAUUCUUUCUUCCUACAUAUAAAAUCCUGGCUCCAUUCCAAACACCCUGUGCCAGCCAGCAGAUUCCCCCAGCUAAAAAAAAUCAUCCACCAUAGACAAUGCCUCCUCCCACAUUCUAUUUCCAGUUAUCGCAAAAUGUAUGUGGGCUAAGAACAAGGAGAAUGACUGUAUGUUUUUCAUGCUGGCCUCAGUUUCCUAGCUUAGGGCAGCAUUAUGUUUGAACCAUGACAAAGAUGUAGACAUCCUGGAGUUCUUACUCUUCCCCUGCCUUACCCCAAGCAAACAAAAGCAAAGGAAAACAACUAGAAUAAUGUGGAAUUAAGUUAUAAUUGAGGUCCACGGAGAAGAAAUCCUAGGAAUCAGAAUACUUAAAAAUGGUUGCCCUAUUGGCCCCCCAGAAGAGGCAGCUCAAAGAUCAGGACACACUUUAAUCCUUUAUUCUAUGGGUAAGGAGCCUGUGGCCCUCCUGCUGUUGUUGGACUACAUCUCCUAAUCUCUGACAGUUGGCGAUGCUUUCUGAGUCUGAUGGGAGUCCAACAGCAUGUAGAGGGCCACAGCUUCCCUAUCCCUGCUGAAUACCAUUGAUCUGGUGGCAGGGGCCUAUGUGUUUCUUGGGCAGAGAUUGGGUACAGGGUGAAUUGCCACAUUCCCAGGAACAGGGCCGGCACCAAAGGGUGGCCAGAUUGGGCCUUGACAGAGGGCCCCUGAAGGGCUCCUCCUUAGGGUGGGAGGGUAGUGCUCCCUUUCCAUGAUCUGCAGCAGUAUCGGCUCCCAACCCUUCUGUGGAUCGUGGAGAGGGAGCUUCUAGGCACCCCUCAGAUACAGUCAGUUCAGGUUUCAAUAAGCCCACAUGCAUGCCCCACCUACCUUUCCCAUCCCUGUGAAUGAUGGCCUGCCAUCAACCAAGAUGGUGGUGGAAGCUUCCCUAAGGGGCUGAUGACCCUGCCGCCAUCUUGGUUAAUGUGCAGCGUGCACGUCAUUCACAGAGAAUGGGAGAGGUAGAUGGGAUGCAUGGGUGGACCAAUUAGCCCUGUGCUGCCUGUAUGGAAGGGUUGGGCUAUGGUGCCGUAGGCCUGAGGCAGGCUGGUGCUGGCCCUGCCCAGGAAGCCAUCUGCUUUAGAGAUGAGCAAACAAGGCUAUAGUGACACUCUUUAGAACUCUGAGUACUAAAUCACAAGCUACCAUUUGCCAGGACACAUUUUAGAAGUAUUGUUCUAUCCCUGCAUUGCUAUGGUGAGAGUCGUGUAUCCCUGGCAUUAGCAAUUAAAGUGGCAACCAAUUCAGAUUAAUACUAGGAGUGAAAAGGAUUGUAUUAGGACUGGAAUCCCUUGCUGCCUGCACCUUCCUUGGGAAACCCACCUUAAACUCAAGAACCAUCUGUGCAUCAUCAUGAAGGGUAUGCACUCUUUAAUGUAGACGGGUUGAUAGUUACUGUGAGAAUGAAUGAGCCAAGAAGAGUUGCAUUUGUGAGGCAGUGGCUUGCGCAUUCUUCUGCAGUGGCUCAUUUUUCAUCGGUGGUUCAGAAAAGUCAGCAGGCUGUCCAGUUAUAAUGAGAAGAGAGAAACAGCAAUAAAGUGACAGGACUAGCAUUGUCUUAAAAGAAGGAGUGACCUUGCCUUCAGUGCUGUGUGUGUGUUUGUGUCUCAUCUCUGGUGGAGAACAGAGAAAAAGUGAAUGUGACAUAAAAAACAGAAUGGGAGAAAACUCCACGAUUUGUAAGAUUGCAGAGGGAUAGAGGUGAGAAAUCCAUCAAAUAAAAAAGAGAAAUUGCAGUUACAGAUAUGUACGAAGCAAUAAUACUGUAUCAUGAUUCUGUAUGGCAUUUUUCAUAGAUGGAACAAAUUGAAUUAUUCAAGAGCCUUCUGUGUUGCUUGGCUGUUGGCCUCUAUGGCUGUUUGCUGAGUAUUACUGAGGUAGUGUUUGCAAACUCCAGAAUAGCAGUUUUUCUUGGAACGACUGUGAUGUAGGUUCUUUGACAUAGCAUGCAUCCUAAAGAAUGCAAUAGGAAUUACCAGGUGGUACUCUCUUUCUUCCACUGAAAAUGCAGAGUGACAGAGUAUAUUCCUUCACCCAGCUGAACCACUGCACCCUGAUGAUAAAAUGAAUGGUAGGGACUCUUUUUGUUCUCUUCCCUUAGAGGUUAAUGAGCUUUGCAUCAGCUAAGAUUUGAGUAGAGAGGAUUCACAAUGAAGUCAUGCAGCAGCUGUGUGGCCCAAUUGUGAAUUCUUUGAAGGAGAGAACUGUGUGUGAGAGAGAGGGUGAGGGGCUAGGGAUCAGACACAGUAUAAUACACUUUACUUGUGUUGGUCACAUGUAUACUUUAGGGUGCCCAGAUGCAAAGGAGAGCUGGGCUGUUGUACCAUUUUAACAGUUCUGUAGGCUUUUUCAACUGGUGCUGCUUGUCAUGCAAGACUGAGAAAAGUUGCUCUUGCUGACAUAAGGCUCCCUCUUCUGCAAACUGUUUAAAGCCACAGAAGUGCGGCUUCCUUUUGCGUUUUCCUUCAUCUGCUCUGUACACCUCUUUGGGCCAGACUGCAGUGUCUCAGGGGCUCGUCUGGGAGGUGGGUGAUGAGGAUGUAGCGUUGUACUUGAUGCCUCUUUCUAGCUGUGGAUGGCAAUGUAUUUUAAACAGGGGUGGAUUUGUAUCCUGGGGGAUGGGUUUUUUAAAACAGCAGUUUGUGGGCUAGAAAUGUGUUUUGUGCAAACCUGACCCCUUCACUAAUGGUUAGGUUCUAUAAUCCGCACCAGCUAGCUAUAAGGCUUUCUGAUUCCUAAAUGCAUGAGUUUGAGUAUGAUUGGGUUGUUGCCUGUAAAACCCAAAGAGAAGGAAAGAACUUGAAAGUAUGGCAGACCCCCCUCUCUCCCUCCCUCCAUACAUCCCUUCCUCUUUGAAUACUAUUCUGUUUUCUGAUUGAUUGGAUCUGUGUGUAGCUUCAUGGGCUGGAUUUGGCCCAAAGGCUGCUGAUUGGCCAUCUUUACUUUAGAAUAUCAGCUGGGAGUUGGGAAGGACUGAAGGCAGCAAAGGAGCUGAGUGACAGCGGUCACUGGUACCAUGAGGAACAGAAACCAGCCCCUUGGGGAGAUCUAUAUGCUCGAGGGGAGAGUCACAGAGAAACGUGCUCCUUGCCCUUUUGCCCAUGGAUAAAGCAAUAACUAAUGACAUGUCAGAACCAGCCCUCUGCGUCAUGUUUCCUUCCUCUUCUUUUCUCUUCCUGUUGGUGAGAAGCUCAGGAUGCAAACUGAGCCCAUUGCACUUAGUGGUUCCAGUGCAGUUGUCUAAAAAGGCUGGGUAACCGCUGGAAACCUUCUGCUGAUUGCUCUGUGGCACCUCAGAGCACCAGUAUAGCCCCCAGGAUGACAAUUUCAGUUGCGCAAUUAAAAGCUGGCAUGUGGUUCAUGUGGACGCUCGUUCUCCGUGCCUACCAUAAUGAAUGCGGAAGCCUUAUUGUGAAUGUCAGCGGAGCAAAUCAUUGAAAUGCUGCGUUUUGUGUGUGCGUUCUUGUCUAUUUAUUUGAAGAAGCAUAGAAGAGUUCCAAUUAUUUAUUGCUAGCAAAAUGUCCAUCAUGUUGGUGGACGGAGUGUAUGUGUGCCAAGGGAGUGCUUGUAAAUUGCGAGGACCCAGUGCACUUCUCAGGCAGCAUCCCUGUUAGUGAGGGCCAAGGAGGCUUUGCUUUCCCUGAAACAUUGUCCCCAAAGGGCUAAGUUUACAUUUCAUAUACAUUUGCUUAUAUGGAGAAAGCUGCAAAUGAUGCAUUUGAGGAGGCUAAGCUUUUGUCCUAUCUCUGAUGACAUGGUGACCCCUGCCAUUAAGAAUCGAGCCUCUCCUACAUAGCCCCAUCUUCAAGUUCUAUUUCUUGGUCACACUAGGGUGGGACUAAAUAGUGGGAAGUGGCGUAGGUAGGUAGGUAGAUAGGUAGGUAGGUAGAUAGAUAGAUACUGCAUUUAUUUGCAAAACAAACUGUAAUUGCUCUGAUCUAGCAUGUGCAUAGUGCUGAUAGAGAGAUGCCUGCCCAGACAAGGUGUAUGUCCAUCCCCAUAUGAGACUAUUAGUCAUGUGCUAGACCUGAGUUGCGGCAAGUGGACAUAAAAUAGCAUACGUGUGUGUGUGUGUGUGCACAGGGAGGUGGGGAUUUCUACUUCUUAUUUGGUAGUUCCAGGUAUUGUAAGGACUACAAGUUGGCACGCUGGACACGUGUGAGGCUCUUAUAUUUAAGAUCAUGCCAACCUUCUCCAUUGUUUUAUCGGGGUCCAUUGUAGACAAGACCUUAUAUAAAUGCAUUUUAUCGGUCUGUGGAAUUGUACUGGCAAAGCUGUCUCUGUGGUAUCUCACUUCGCCAUUGACACCUGUGGCAAAACAUAGAUAUAUCUAUAUCAGCCAGACUGGUAUGUUUCGUGGGCCAUGUUUUGGCCCCGUGGAGAUAGUGUUACUUGGAUGGGUGGGUGUUGGUAGUUGUACAUGGUUUGACAGAAUUCAGGCAUGCAAUGAUAGAGUGCAAGUGUUAAGACCGGAGGGGUGCCGUUCCAUCUAAAUCUCUUGAUGCACAAGGGAUUUCUGUUGCUAGAAGUGCCAGCAACAGUUUUCUGCAGCACAGCCUGCCCUGCAGCUUCCUUGCCUGCUGCACAGUCACCUCUCUUUCUUCUUCCCAUCCCUUUUGGCCUCAGAUUUUCACCACCAGUCCUGUUCUUUCUGCAACAAUACCACAUUCCACACCAAAACGCUGCACAGUCACAUCUACAACAUGUUAACUUGUGUGGUUGCCUUGCAUAAUAUGUUUAUAUUCAGGUGCGUGUGUUUAAAAUUGAGAAUCCACAUAGUCCUCAGUGUGGUAUAAACCUGCAUUCUCUCAAGAGGAAAUAGGAUUGACCGCCAGUGCUUCAGAACAGCUGACCAGCAGCAGAGGCUGGCCCAUAGGGCCAGUGGGACAUUGCCCCACCAACUUCAGUCUGCCCUCAGCCAGCCCCCACCUGCCUACCUUCUUAUUUACAUCCAGUCCAGGGGCUGCUACUGCGUGUCAUCUUCCUUCUCCUUAGUUUCAAAGUUGCCCUUUGGAGAGCUCAGCAGGGAGAAGGAUGGACACAAGACUAGAAUUAGUUGGCUCUGGCUCCAGCUACUGUUGCCGUCUUUGCCUUCUGCCCUACCAGUCCCAAUGGGCACCGGCCACCGCUGUUGACCAGGUUAUGAUGAGAUGCCCAAAACAAACUUAUAAAGUGCCAUGUUUCUGCAAGCAAGUUAGAAUUGUCUCAAGGCAACCAUUCAAGAUAGCCAUUUGUGUAAACGAAUUUUCUAAAGUUAACUUAGGUACAUGUGGGCAGGUGGGCUUAUAAAACUUAGGGUGCUAAUAGCUUUUGUAGGCUAAUUUGCAAAGCUGGCCCAAAUGCAUCUUCAGCCAGUGGGUUUUUGCAUGUCAGGUUGCUCCACACAAAUUGAAAUGGUUGGACCUUAUUCCAAAAACUGGUUGCUCUCUAGCGCAUUCACAUGCUCGGAGCUUCUUAAAUCAGUGUUUCCAUUUGCCUCUGAGGAAUCUGUCAGAAAACUAAAUUCUACUAAGCUGAGAUCUUGGGGGUGUUUCUGUUUUAUUCAUUUGGAUUAUCUUUGCUUUAGAAAAAAAGAACACUCUUUGUUCAUUAAAAAGGCACUUUGCAGCCUAGCCAUUGCUCAAGGAAUUGUUUGUACUCCCCAUUCUUUAAUUGUGGAUAUGAAAUUCCUAAGCUCAGGAAGCUUCUGGAGGACAGUUUGUAUGGCAUACAUGUUUGCUUUUAGCAUCCUACAGCUGUAUCUUGCAACUUCUUCAGUGGGCACCUUCCUUGAACCAAAUUUGUGAUCCGUUCCCAGGGGAUACUCCAAAUGGUGGAUUAAAUCAACUUAAUUUUUCAGCUUCACAACACAUCCUAAGCACCAUAAUGCAUUCACAUUCCUCAGCAGACCGACAUGUCUAGAAAUCAUUGCUUAGUUUAAAUUGCUCUUUCAAACUGUCAUGACUGCUUUAACUGGUACAUGGCAGACCAAAACUUUAUGAGUCUAUUUUUCUUUAUCAGGCACUGUGCUGGAGUUUACCAGACUGGCAGAGAUUAGGAUCUCUAUGUGCAUAUUUUUAGGCAAACCUCUCUCUCUGAGCCACAGCUCCCCAUCUGCAUUAGGUAGAUGAAUGCUGAACUUCCUUAUAGGGUUGUUGUGAGGGUUGCUGGGCUAAUGUAUAUUAAAUGCUGUGAACACUCUGGAAAUAGUCAAGUGUUACAAAUGAUUAUAUCCACAUUUCUGUAUUUCCUUUUGAAUUUGGAUUUAGAUGGGCAGAAUGAAAAUAUGCAGAUGGGAGGAGCACAGAGGAGUAAUACCCCAUUUGAGCUAUUGCCAAGCAAAAUAGGCAAGAUUGUGAGCACAAACAAUCCUUUGCUACAAGAUUGGAUUGGGUUGGGCCUUCUACUCCCGAUGAAAAGGCCUGUAAAAUUAUUUUGGGCAACUGGCCAGUAUGUCCUCAAAAUAAAAAAUGUAUAUUCCUUCUAGAGGCAUAUCAUAGAACUUAGAUCAUACUGCAUGUGAAUUUCACCUUAAGAACCUGAAUAGACUGAUGAGCACAGAGCUUAAAUUUCACCUUGUUCUUGUCAUUUGUACCAUGCCUUUUCAGUGACUAUGUUACAUGACAGGUAGCUGUUGUUAGGGAAUACAAUAUGCCUCCUAUUGAAUAGGAGAUGGUUAUCGUUUCUGGAUGGCUCUUGUCUCUGAACGCUUUGUUUUAAUUGUUUGUCCUACCUGCCUCCCCCAUUUAAACAGCUGUGAAUGGAUAUUAACUCCAGCAAGCAGCUGUAAAGGUAGUUUUAGGAAGAAAGCAGCCACGUGCUUUAGGAACGGAAAAAGCUGCAUAUAAGGGUAUUUCCAGAAAUGUUCCCUUGAGCCCAAGCCUUUUCUGACUUUGUGUUCACAGUAGAGAUGAUACUGAAACCCAAGAUCCAGAAGCGGAGUCUUAGAGCCACUCUUGUAGAUUUUGGACUAGACUCCUAAGAAGUUCAUCUACAUUCAUGAAAUGGUCCAAAAAGACCCUGCCCCACCUACAAGUACCUUCUAGGAUGAGGAUCAGUGGUGGUGCUCUCCAAAUGUCGUGGACUACAGUUCUCAUUAUCCCUGUACAUUGGCCAUGCUGGCUGGGGUUGAUAAGAGUUAUAGUACAUGACAUCUAGAGGGUACCACAUUGGCUGCCCCUAUUCUAGGUCCAGCCUAGGGAGAAGCCUGGCACAUGGUUACCUACAGCUCAGUGAGAGACCAUGUUGUGUGUGCAGAAGGACUCGGGUUCAGUCCCAGUAUCUCCGGUUAAAAAGAUCUCCAGCUGCAGGGCUGAGGAAAACCUCUGCUUGAGAUCUGAGGAACCCACUGACAAACAGCAUAGACAGUACUGGGGUAGUUGGACCAUGGUCUGAUUCAAACAUUGAUGGACUUUCAGAAAAGUAAUCCAAUAGGCCCAGAUUAAUCCUUGACCUCUCAAAAACGGUGGUUGCUCAUUCCUAAUUAGUAUAGGUCAGGGGUACCUAUUCCGGAUGUUGUGGGACUACAGCUGCCAUCAGUCCCCAGCCAGCAUGGGCAGUAGUCAAAGAUGAUAGGAACUAUAGUCCAGGAACAUCUGGAGGGACACAGGUUAGUCACCUCUCCUCUACAAAAAGCCUCAUCCCAGGGUGUAUGAUGGAUAACAUUCUUCAGGUAUAUAUGUACAUAAUCAUCAGCACCUUUGUGACUUGGCCAAAUAUUGGGAUUAAUAUAUAUUGUUAUUGUAGAGGUGGUGGUGAAAAUCCAUUGCUUCAUAAUUAAAGAAGAAAAAUGGCUCUUUGUUGUUUUCAGAUAAGGUGAUAUGAAAUAGGUAAAAUGAUAUCUGCUAUUGGAUCUAGACGACCCAUUCUCUAUAAACAUUGUGAUUCAUGUUUAAAGUUUUUCUGUGAUUAGAAUAUCUGUCUAACUGAAGUAGCUAAAGUGAUUGCAACCACCUUUGCUCAAUAUACAGCUGCAGUUAGCUUUCCUUUCUCCUUUAUGCAGAGUUCUGUGCAAUCCAGAAGUGUACAUAUUCUUGCAGCAUUACAGGUACUACAAAGGCAAUUUCAUAUUUAAUGAAGGCACUUACGGAGAUACUCUUCCACAUGGAGGAUGGACUCACUUAUGUGGAUAUUGUUUUUAUAUCAUUGAAAUAGUAUUUUUGAGAUUAAGUUUACAUUUGCUUUUGUUUUUCUGUAUAUAAAUACACUUCUGUCUGUUUUACCAUUGCUGGAGUCGCCCUUCUAUGGUAUGCAGACCCUAAUUUGCCUGAUGUUACAAAGCUGUGAGACACCGUAGUCUUCCCCCUCUCCUUUCUUGUGUUCAUGACUAUGACAACUAUGUUUUUUAAAAAACAAGUUUGAAUAACGUUGCUUUGGCACAACAAAGCAAAAAGCCUUCUAGAUGGAUUUUUAUGUUUAUGAAAAUGAACAAGUUGGUGAAGGAUUUCACUUAUGUAUAUGAUAUAUGUAUAUGUAAAAACAAAAAAAUUAGAAAAGAAAUAAACCAAAUGUAUUUCA